CUAGUGGUGUCAGCCUAUAUAAGUCAUCACUUGUCUGCUAACGUGCUAAUCGAGGAGGACAGACCAAGGAAAGGCACACUCUUCAAGGCAUAGAGGUUUCCACAUUUCCCUGUUGACGUUUUCGAAACGUAAGUUGCAAAGAUGAAAUUCGUUCUGCUGCUGAUCGUAAGCUCCUUUGCUGGGCAAGGUAUCCUAGGACAGCAGGUGGCGUUUCAGGCUCAGUUUUCUUCAGAAUAUGUCUCAGCGCCCGCAACUGGUCCCCACAUCUUCAAUAACGUCAUCUUUAACCGUGGCAACGCGUAUAGCUGCAGCACCGGCAAAUUCACUGCUCCAGCCCCUGGAGUGUAUUAUUUCGCGACCCAAGUGUUCACCGCUAACAAGAUGAGAGUGAUGGUAGACAUCAGACGAAAUUUCACACCUGUCUCCAGGAUGGCUCUUAACACCACACAACCUGGCGACGCAGAAAGCGUGUCUACUGGAAUUAUUCUGCAAUUAGCAGCUAAUGACCAGGUCUGGGUAGAAACGGCCAAUCCAGUCUAUCCUGGUAGAUACUGGGGACUGAUGCAUACCCAUUUCUCUGGGUUUCGGGUGUGCGGCUGCUAAAGAAAUCUGAGCUUAUGCAAAUAAUCGUUUCUCACGUUAUGCUUGGCCAUUCUGAAUUCCUCUUUUUGCUGUUACUCAUGUUAGUAACAUAUCCUUUCUAGAACCCUUUCUUUUUGUAUGAACCUUAAAAGAUACGAUACUAAUAAAUGCAACGACAACAUGAAAUAAGUAUAUAAAAUAGAGGGCGACGACUGCAAUUCAAAAUCAUGGUGCCACCAUAUAAAGUGUUAAUUUAAGAGACAUUUACUAGAUAGAAAUCGAGCUUAAGACAAAAGAAAUCAUGUGUUCAACAAAGCAAAUAAUUCCAAUUGUCUUACAUCUUCAACUAAUUGGGAGGUAGAUUUGAACACAUGUCCAGCUGAAGAUGACCACUUCAUAGGUUGCACAUAACGAACCGUGUUAUUUAGAAACAUUUGACCGCUUAAACAUUAACGUCGGUUGUUGUUGUUUUUUGUUUGUUUUUCUUUCUUCGGUGGAUAUUUUUGGGUAAGUUUUAGUUUUUUUAGUGAAAGCUUUCUUCACUAGACAUGCCAAUGAAGAUAAUACAGUACACGAAGAAAGAAGGUUCAAAAAUAUAUUUGACAGUUUACUCUUUUCAGUGCUGAAUAAAAUGACUGUUCGGUCA
Molecule: long non-coding RNA, 1228 nt
Filed under: Pomacea canaliculata
Lineage: Eukaryota; Metazoa; Mollusca; Gastropoda; Architaenioglossa; Ampullariidae
Description: uncharacterized LOC112560486
Source: RNAcentral